Molecule: transfer RNA, 76 nt
Filed under: Chloroflexota bacterium
Lineage: Bacteria; Bacillati; Chloroflexota
Description: Chloroflexi bacterium tRNA-Arg
Rfam family: tRNA
About the family: Transfer RNA (tRNA) molecules are approximately 80 nucleotides in length. Their secondary structure includes four short double-helical elements and three loops (D, anti-codon, and T loops). Further hydrogen bonds mediate the characteristic L-shaped molecular structure. tRNAs have two regions of fundamental functional importance: the anti-codon, which is responsible for specific mRNA codon recognition, and the 3' end, to which the tRNAs corresponding amino acid is attached (by aminoacyl-tRNA synthetases). tRNAs cope with the degeneracy of the genetic code in two manners: having more than one tRNA (with a specific anti-codon) for a particular amino acid; and 'wobble' base-pairing, i.e. permitting non-standard base-pairing at the 3rd anti-codon position.
Source: RNAcentral
GCGCCGGUAGCUCAGUGGAUAGAGCAUUAGUCUUCGGAACUAAGGGUCGGGGGUUCGAAUCCCUCCCGGCGCACCA